Molecule: transfer-messenger RNA, 296 nt
Filed under: Acetobacteraceae bacterium
Lineage: Bacteria; Pseudomonadati; Pseudomonadota; Alphaproteobacteria; Acetobacterales; Acetobacteraceae
Rfam family: Alphaproteobacteria transfer-messenger RNA
About the family: Bacterial tmRNA, also known as 10Sa RNA or SsrA, is named for its dual tRNA and mRNA-like properties. Its role is to liberate the mRNA from a stalled ribosome.
Source: RNAcentral
CGGCUUGCAAAGCCAGUCCGGCCGCCCCAUCUUGGGUUUGCUGGCUUGCCAGCUAUGGUGAUAAACGGUACGUGGAAUAAACGUUGUGGACCCGGGGGCAGUGCCCGGCGCCUCCACCAUACGGGGGCGAAACAGGCUCGACACGCGUGGUAAAGACGAAUCUUUUGCCCGGCAUGGUUCCGCCGUUAUCGGGCCGUAUGACAAAUGCCAAUGACAACCAUGAGGCAUUCGCCGUCGCUGCGUAAGCAGGGAUAGCGCGGUUUGAGGGGGCACCGGGCAACAGAAGCCCCCUCACU